GAUGAACGCUGGCGGCGUGCCUAAUACAUGCAAGUCGAGCGAACAGACGAGGAGCUUGCUCCUCUGACGUUAGCGGCGGACGGGUGAGUAACACGUGUAUAACCUACCUAUAAGACUGGGAUAACUUCGGGAAACCGGAGCUAAUACCGGAUAAUAUAUUGCACCGCAUGGUUCGAUAGUGAAAGACGGUGUUGCUGUCUCUUAUAGAUGGAUCCGCGCCGCAUGAGCUAGUUGUUACGGUAACGGCUUACCAAGGCAACGAGGCGUAGCCGAACUGAGAGGGGGAUAGGCCACACUGGAACUGAGACACGGUCCAGAGUCCUACGGGAGGGAGCAGUAGGGAAUCUUCCGCAAUAGGCGAAAGCAUGACGGAGCAACGCCGAGUGAGUGAUGAAGGUCUUCGGAUCGUAAAACUCUGUUAUUAGGGAAGAACAAAUGUGUAAGUAACUAUGCCCGUCUUGACGGUACCUAAUCAGGAAGCCACGGCUAACUACGUG
Molecule: ribosomal RNA, 497 nt
Filed under: uncultured bacterium
Lineage: Bacteria
Description: partial 16S ribosomal RNA
Rfam family: Bacterial small subunit ribosomal RNA
Source: RNAcentral